CUCUAUCCCUCGCCCGGGGCCGCCCUCCCUGCCGCUCCCUUAGGGGCUCUGCGACACCCGCCUCCGGGGGCGCCCCGCCCCCCGCCGCGCGUGCCUGGUUACGACAUGGCGCUAACGGCCCCUCCGGCCCGCCGAGCUCUGUUUUCUGCGGCGGCUUCGCUACUGCUGCUGGGGGCGGCGGAGUCUUCCAACAGGAUCCAUGCUAACAUUCCACUCAUUUUCUUUGCUCUGUGAGGUAAUUUAUAUACCUAUAUGUUCAGUAUACACUUUUUUAAAGACAGUAUUCAUGAUCCUGUAUAGAUAACACAUUUGACUGAAAACAUGACAUUUUGUGACUAUUUAUGUAAUUUUAGUGUCUUUUUUUUAUGAAUUAAACUAAGAAUCUAUCAAAUAAUGUAUGGCUUGUAUUAAAGUCAACAAAAGUUAAAUGAUGUUCUGGGUCUUUAAUGCAGUUUUAGGCAAAAUUCUUUAGUUUUUCGUUUUUAUUCUUUUUUGUCUUUUAUCAUUUCAAAGGCAUUAUUUCAGUUUUUCAGAUCUACAUUCUGCAUUCUGCCUUGUCAGCAUUGUUCAGUACUGCCCAUGAGCAGUACCUUCUAUUCCCAUUUUUUCUUCUGUGCUUGUUACUUAGCAUCUUAAGACAUUGAUCAUAAUGCCUAAUUUGAAUACUGUUUUUAUUGUAAAAUCAUAAAAAUUAUUAGCAUUAAAAGUUUGUUAGUAGGUAUUCUAAAGCAAGAAGAUAAAGAAAAUUCCAUAAAUCUCCAAGAUCAACUGGAGCUAUAGAGAGUAAGAAACUUCUUCAGCUUUAGUCUGUACUACCUCCUAUCUGUUAAAGCUGAAUCCAUAUGACAAAAGCAGCAGAAUGGGCAAUGUCUGUACUCUGCUGUUGCUGCAGUGCCUGCC
This 900-nucleotide long non-coding RNA is filed under the name Apteryx owenii (little spotted kiwi). RNAcentral's name for it is "lncRNA (ENSAOWG00000010446.1)". Lineage: Eukaryota; Metazoa; Chordata; Aves; Apterygiformes; Apterygidae. The record is from RNAcentral.